CCAUGGACUGCAGCCUAUCAGGUUUCUCUGUCCAUGGGAUUUUCUAGGCAAGAGUACUGGAGUGGGGUGCCAUUUCCUUCUCCGGAAAACACUCAUUGGCACUUCUGAAUUAGAUAGAUUUUCAUUUGUUUUCUUACCCUGAGACUUUGGGCAGAGAUUUUUUUUUUCUUUUUCUUUUUAAUGUAUGCACUAAGGCAAGGCUUUAGAAAUGUUUCUUCCAGCUCUGGGGAGACAUGGAAAUUAAGGAAACUAAUCACUGCAGCAAACCACCAGAGACUAAAAAUAAAAAGUCGUUUAGUCAGAAUGAGAUUGCUUCUAUAGUUCCUUCUGAGGGCGAUUGAUGGAGGUGACGUCAUGUCUUGUAAACACUGUCCGUGGCUCUAAUGUGCUUGGAAUGACUGCAAAGAGGAUACUGGUCCUCUUUCGGCUCUAACAGGCUGAGGAGCACUCGGCUUCAUCCAGGACUCAGAAGCAGGCUGUGUCAAGGCGUGGUGAAGACGUGAUCGACUGCUGUCCAGCCUCUCUGCCUGACCCUGGAACAUCUGGAACCCUGCAACCUGACCAAGCGCUGCUGCUCACUCAGUCAUCAGAAAUGGUUCAACAGCCCCCACCCCGAUGCUGUCCCUUCGCAUUCUUCUUGCUGUGGAUAUGGUGGGGCUGAAAGAGGAAACAGACAGAACAGGCUCCAUCGUGAAACCAGAACUUCAUCUUGGGCCGGACUGUGGACUUUGAGCUAUAUGCCCAGUAUCUAUGGAAACGACAUAACUGGAAAACUAGACCCCCCGGAUGGAAGAGCCCCAGGGCUCACACCUAGACUCUCUGUUGCCUAAAAGAAUACCCUAAUUAUCUGUGUAACCAAAUAAAAUCAUAAAUUCUAUUAUGCUUAUUGGGGUAUGACCACAGGCCUAUUCAUAAUUGUCCACUGUUAACAGUCAGACACGACUGAGCAACUUCCCUUUCACUUUUCACUUUCAUGCAUUGGAGAAGGAAAUGGCAACCCACUCCAGUGUUCUUGCUUGGAGAAUCCCAGGGACGGCAGAGCCUGGUGGGCUGCCAUCUAUGGGUUCGCACAGACUCGGACACGACUAAAGCGACUUAGCAGCAGCAGCAGCAGCAGCAGCAGCAGCUACCUAGGCUUAAGGCAUACGAGUCAUGGGUUAACUUUGAUUGUAUCUUUCUUUUCCUUUGUUCAGACUAGUUUCAGGGAAUUUGGGGAGGUGGGUUUGUGUAUGUACGCUUAGAGUAUGUAAGGUUUUCGCAAAAACUCGUCGGGAUCCUUGGCUAAGAGGAGACUCUGCCUUGGGCCCGCCGGUGUAAUAAACUGCACUCCACUAUCUGCAUUGUCCUUCUGAGUGAGUUUGUUUCCCGGAAUGCUUGGCUACAACAGUGC
This 1390-nucleotide long non-coding RNA is filed under the name Capra hircus (goat). RNAcentral describes it as "lncRNA (ENSCHIG00000000728.1)". Lineage: Eukaryota; Metazoa; Chordata; Mammalia; Artiodactyla; Bovidae. The record is from RNAcentral.